CAUUUAAGAGCUUGUAACCUUAAGCAUUUGGCUUUUAACCAAAAGAAAAUAAAUUAUUUUAAGUGA
This 66-nucleotide transfer RNA is filed under the name Nephtys sp. 'San Juan Island' YV-2008. RNAcentral's name for it is "tRNA-Lys". The record is from RNAcentral. Lineage: Eukaryota; Metazoa; Annelida; Polychaeta; Phyllodocida; Nephtyidae.